UACGGAGGGUGCAAGCGUUAUCCGGAUUCACUGGGUUUAAAGGGUGCGUAGGCGGGUUGGUAAGUCCGUGGUGAAAUCUCCGAGCUUAACUCGGAAACUGCCGUGGAUACUAUCAAUCUUGAAUAUCGUGGAGGUAAGCGGAAUAUGUCAUGUAGCGGUGAAAUGCUUAGAUAUGACAUAGAACACCAAUUGCGUAGGCAGCUUACUACACGAUCAUUGACGCUGAGGCACGAAAGCGUGGGGAGCAAACAGGAUUAGAAACCCCCGUAGUCC
RNAcentral lists this ribosomal RNA (273 nucleotides) under uncultured bacterium. RNAcentral describes it as "partial 16S ribosomal RNA". It matches the Rfam family "Bacterial small subunit ribosomal RNA", at positions 524 to 796 of the family's 1533-position model. The record is from RNAcentral.